Molecule: ribosomal RNA, 561 nt
Filed under: uncultured Sebacinales
Lineage: Eukaryota; Fungi; Basidiomycota; Agaricomycetes; Sebacinales
Description: eukaryotic LSU rRNA
Rfam family: Eukaryotic large subunit ribosomal RNA
Source: RNAcentral
UAGUAACGGCGAGUGAAGAGGGAAAAGCUCAAAUUUUGAAUCUGACGUCUUCGGCGUUCGAGUUGUAAUCUAGAGAAGUGUUUUCCGUGUCGGACCGUGCACAAGUUCCCUGGAACGGGGCGUCAUAGAGGGUGAGAAUCCCGUACGUGGCACGGACUCCCGGUGCUCUGCGAUACACUCUCAACGAGUCGAGUUGUUUGGGAAUGCAGCUCAAAAUGGGUGGUAAAUUCCAUCUAAAGCUAAAUAUUGGCGAGAGACCGAUAGCGAACAAGUACCGUGAGGGAAAGAUGAAAAGCACUUUGGAAAGAGAGUGAAACAGUACGUGAAAUUGUUGAAAGGGAAGCGUUUGAAGUCAGUCGCGUCUGUCGAGGUUCAGCCUGGCUUCUGCCUGGUGUAUUCCCUGUCCGACGGGUCAGCAUCAGUUUCGACCGAGAGAAAAAGGCUUGGGGAAUGUGGCCGUCUUCGGGCGGUGUUAUAGCCCUUUGUCGUAUGUCUCGGUUGGGACUGAGGACUGCAGCGCGCCUUACGGCCGGGGUUCGCGCCCUCGGUACGCGCUUAGGA